RNAcentral lists this transfer RNA (87 nucleotides) under Pseudoclavibacter endophyticus. RNAcentral's name for it is "tRNA-Pro". Lineage: Bacteria; Bacillati; Actinomycetota; Actinomycetes; Micrococcales; Microbacteriaceae. The record is from RNAcentral.
GACCGGUAGCGCAGGGUCUGUGGUGCAGUCGCCGUUGGGGGCGGCGAUCGGCCAUGCGGCGGCCGUUCUGGUGACGCCGGCGCUCCC